Molecule: small nuclear RNA, 150 nt
Filed under: Peromyscus maniculatus bairdii (prairie deer mouse)
Lineage: Eukaryota; Metazoa; Chordata; Mammalia; Rodentia; Cricetidae
Description: U1 spliceosomal RNA (ENSPEMG00000003453.2)
Rfam family: U1 spliceosomal RNA
About the family: U1 is a small nuclear RNA (snRNA) component of the spliceosome (involved in pre-mRNA splicing). Its 5' end forms complementary base pairs with the 5' splice junction, thus defining the 5' donor site of an intron.
Source: RNAcentral
AAACAGGAAUUUCAGAGUCCGAUGGGCUUUCCUAGGGUGAGGCUUAUCCAUUGCCAUCCGGAUGUGCUGGCCCCUGCAAUUUCCCCAAAUAUGAGAAACUAAACUGCAUGAUUUUUGGGAGUGGGAGGAUUGCAUUUUUGCUCUUCCCCA